This 390-nucleotide ribosomal RNA is filed under the name uncultured bacterium. RNAcentral's name for it is "bacterial SSU rRNA". It matches the Rfam family "Bacterial small subunit ribosomal RNA", at positions 30 to 419 of the family's 1533-position model. The record is from RNAcentral.
AUUGAACGCUGGCGGCAUGCCUUACACACGCAAGUCGAACGGCAGCACGGGAGCAAUCCUGGUGGCGAGUGGCGAACGGGUGAGUAAUAUAUCGGAACGUGCCCAGUCGUGGGGGAUAACGUAGCGAAAGCUACGCUAAUACCGCAUACGAUCUAUGGAUGAAAGCGGGGGGAUCGCAAGACCUCGCGCGAUUGGAGCGGCCGAUAUCAGAUUAGGUAGUUGGUGAGGUAAAGGCUCACCAAGCCGACGAUCUGUAGCUGGUCUGAGAGGACGACCAGCCACACUGGGACUGAGACACGGCCCAGACUCCUACGGGAGGCAGCAGUGGGGAAUUUUGGACAAUGGGCGCAAGCCUGAUCCAGCAAUGCCGCGUGCAGGAUGAAGGCCUUC